This 1251-nucleotide long non-coding RNA is filed under the name Helianthus annuus (common sunflower). Its description in RNAcentral is "hypothetical non coding rna". Lineage: Eukaryota; Viridiplantae; Streptophyta; Magnoliopsida; Asterales; Asteraceae. The record is from RNAcentral.
UUGUACCCCUUCUCUUUUAUUAGAAUACAGUAGCCUUUAUUUUGUUCACUGCAAGUUUUCACCUUCAUAAUAUAUACAUAGUGAGAGUUGUGAGUGUGUAUUGGGGCCUGUAUCCAACAUUUGGUAUCAGAGCCUAGGCUCGUUGAGAAGCGGGUUUGAAGAUCGGAGGAAGCCUCCGCCGCCGGCGGGUGUGUCGGUCGGUGGAGGGCAGGCGUAAAAGAAGGGUGCGGGACUGUUAUACAGCAGAAGACGGAAGCGUUAUGGUGUUUUCGGUAGGCCGUUGUUGUGGUAGACGUACCGGUUAAGACGACGGGGGUGACCGGUGAUAAACACUUGUUUUCCGGGGCUGUUAAUAGUAAUGAUUAAAGGCGUUGAAAGGGUUGUUCGGUUGUUAGUUGCGGGUUUGCGCAGUUGCUAUUCAACCGGUGAUAACGGUAGACGGUGAGAACGGUUGCCUUGAUCGGUUGUUCGUGAUAAGAGGAGACCGGCGUAGUGCGUGAAAAGCGGGCAGAAUGGAUCCGUCAAAGCAGGUGGCUUUGGAUUCGUCUCGUUUGGCAAGUUGAGAAAACGGAAGAAGCGGGUGGCUUGUUUUCUUUGUCGGUGGAGAGCCUCUUGAACAAGGGUGAUUGGAAAAAGGUAAAGAAAAAAAUUACACGGUGUUAACAUUAUGGUGUUGGAGUUCAAAUCGGGUGACUCGGAUGUGACCGGGUGGGUCGUUGAUCCGUGAUGAGUCAAGAUGUUAGUGAACACAUUGGAUGUGAUCGAGGUGAAGAUCGGGUGUCCGUUAGAUGUCAUAGUGGUUCGAAACCGAGGUGAUUCGGUGCUGCGGUGAAGGCGUAAACAAACACCGAUUAAGGGGGUGAUUGUUGGAUUAUUCGGGUUUGUUUACGGGUCACGAGUCGGCAUGUAAUCGGGUCACAGUUCAAAUGGCCGGUUAUUCGUUUACGGGUCACACGGGUCUCCGGUCAUAGGUAAAAAGAUUGGAGCUGGAUUCAGAUCGGUUAGAACAAUAUUAAUCACAUGGUUAUUUUGGUUUAUGGAAGACUAGGUUAUCACCCGGGAUUGCUUCCCGGGCUCGAGAAAGUUACUUAUAUAAUUAUUAGUUAUGUUUAAUACAUACUUAAAAUCAUACAAAUAUUAAUGUCUUCGCUAUAAGAAGACUUGCAAACUUUUCAUUAACUUAAUCACACGAUGUGUUUAGAGAGCCAUUAUUACAUAAUAAAAUGAAAAUGUUAAUAAUAUUAGAAUGUA